AGAGUUUGAUCAUGGCUCAGGAUGAACGCUAGCGGCAGGCCUAACACAUGCAAGUCGAGGGGUAACAGGUAGAAAGCUUGCUUUCUAUGCUGACGACCGGCGCACGGGUGAGUAACGCGUAUGCAACCUACCUUUAACAGGAGAAUAGCCCCGAGAAAUCGGGAUUAAUGCUCCAUAAAAUGUUUAGAUCGCAUGGUUUGAACAUUAAAGCUCCGGCGGUUAAAGAUGGGCAUGCGUGACAUUAGCUAGUUGGUACGGUAACGGCGUACCAAGGCAACGAUGUCUAGGGGUUCUGAGAGGAUUGUCCCCCACACUGGUACUGAGACACGGACCAGACUCCUACGGGAGGCAGCAGUGAGGAAUAUUGGUCAAUGGUCGAGAGACUGAACCAGCCAUGCCGCGUGCAGGAUGACGGCGCUAUGCGUUGUAAACUGCUUUUCUACAGGAAGAACUGUACUUACGUGUAAGUAUUUGACGGUACUGUAGGAAUAAGCACCGGCUAACUCCGUGCCAGCAGCCGCGGUAAUACGGAGGGUGCAAGCGUUAUCCGGAUUUAUUGGGUUUAAAGGGUGCGUAGGCGGAAUAAUAAGUCAGUGGUGAAAUCCUGCGGCUCAACCGUAGAACUGCCAUUGAUACUGUUAUUCUUGAAUGUAGUUGAGGUAGGCGGAAUGUGUAAUGUAGCGGUGAAUGCUUAGAUAUUACACAGAACACCGAUUGCGAAUGCAGCUUGCUAAACUAUGAUUGACGCUGAUGCACGAAGCGUGGGGAGCGAAC
RNAcentral lists this ribosomal RNA (774 nucleotides) under uncultured bacterium. RNAcentral describes it as "bacterial SSU rRNA". It matches the Rfam family "Bacterial small subunit ribosomal RNA", at positions 8 to 773 of the family's 1533-position model. The record is from RNAcentral.